RNAcentral lists this transfer RNA (58 nucleotides) under Pseudoterranova azarasi. RNAcentral describes it as "tRNA-Asn". Lineage: Eukaryota; Metazoa; Nematoda; Chromadorea; Rhabditida; Anisakidae. The record is from RNAcentral.
UAGGGUAUAGUUUAAGUUAAAAUGUUUAACUGUUAAUUGCAAGAUUUUUCUCUUAUAU